GCUGAGUCCGGGCUGGGACGCGGGGAAAUACGGGAGGGUCUGGCGGUUUUCGGCAGUACUGGGCGUAAGGCGCGCGUAGGCGGCCAGGCAAGUGAGGCGUGAAAGGCCUGGGCUCAACCUGGGAACUGCGCUUCAGACUGCACGGCUUGAGUCCGGGAGAGGGUGGUGGAAUUCCCAGUGUAGAGGUGAAAUUCGUAGAUAUUGGGAGGAACACCAGUGGCGAAGGCGGCCACCUGGCCCGGUACUGACGCUCAAGUGCGAAAGCGUGGGGAGCAAACAGGAUUAGAUACCCUAGUAGUC
This 300-nucleotide ribosomal RNA is filed under the name uncultured Desulfovibrio sp. RNAcentral's name for it is "bacterial SSU rRNA". It matches the Rfam family "Bacterial small subunit ribosomal RNA", at positions 496 to 795 of the family's 1533-position model. The record is from RNAcentral. Lineage: Bacteria; Pseudomonadati; Thermodesulfobacteriota; Desulfovibrionia; Desulfovibrionales; Desulfovibrionaceae.